Molecule: ribosomal RNA, 440 nt
Filed under: uncultured bacterium
Lineage: Bacteria
Description: bacterial SSU rRNA
Rfam family: Bacterial small subunit ribosomal RNA
Source: RNAcentral
CCUACGGGAGGCAGCAGUGGGGAAUAUUGCACAAUGGGGGAAACCCUGAUGCAGCAACGCCGCGUGAGCGAUGAAGGCCUUCGGGUCGUAAAGCUCUGUCCUAAGGGAAGAAUACUGACGGUACCUUAGGAGGAAGCCCCGGCUAACUACGUGCCAGCAUCCGCGGUAAUACGUAGGGGGCUAGCGUUAUCCGGAAUUACUGGGCGUAAAGGGUGCGUAGGCGGGCCUUCAAGUCAGAGGUGAAAGGCUACGGCUCAACCGUGGUAAGCCUUUGAAACUGUAGGGCUUGAGUGCUGGGGAAGGGAGUGGGAUUCCCAGUGUAGCGGUGAAAUGCGGAGAGAUUGGGAGGAAGAGCAGUUGCGAAGGCGGCUCUCUGGACUGUAACUGACGCUGAGGCACGAAAGCGUGGGGAGCGAACAGGAUUAGAUACCCGGGUAGUC